This is a long non-coding RNA of Triticum dicoccoides, 2327 nucleotides long. RefSeq lists it as uncharacterized. NCBI's taxonomy places the organism in Eukaryota, Viridiplantae, Streptophyta, Magnoliopsida, Poales, Poaceae. The record is from RefSeq and is a predicted model, not a curated record. The transcript has 4 exons.
GUAGCCGGACGUAGGCUCAAGCCUCAGGAGGAUCACCGGGCAUGCGUACUGUCUGCAGAUCAACAUGCAUGCAAUAUACGUAAGAGAGAGGUUAGUUACAUCAGGUGCAUAAUGUAUUAGACCCCCAACAGCCGUCAGGAUCUCCAAAACAGCAAGGCGAGGUCUCAGGGAUUCGGGCAAGAAGACACAUACGCUGACCAAGCAAAGGUUGAGAGAGAGAGUAGGGGUUGAAGACACAUCUCGGCCGUGCUGCCUCACUUGGGACAAUGCCAUCCCAUUACAUAAGCAAACUUUACCAAAACCUACUCUUGUGGGCAAUGGUGCAAGUACAUUAUGAAGAAAAAUAGGUACCUUGCAUAACAUAUGUAUAUCUAAAUAUCAAAGAAAACCUACCAUAUUUGAUUCCAAGUUUGCUUUAUACACAAAUAAUGUAAGAGUACGUAAUAUGGUGUCGUAUGAUAAAUUACAUAUGCAUGUAUAUCCAAUCGCUCAAAUGUCUGAUCCGGCUCCAUGUGGUGUCUCAUUGGUUACUUUUGUUAAUUCUUUUAUUAGCUCUGAAGCUGGAUGAUGGAUUGCCCAGCCAAUGCUUUUUUGCCAUGGAUCAGAUGGUAUAUACCCACAAUCCGGAAGCAUGUUUAUUACUUCCUAACAUUGGCUGGAUGCACCCACAAUCCGGAAGCAUGUUGAUUACUUCCUAACAUUGGCUGGAUGCACACGUACUGACGUACAAGAGGACUUGAUGGAAUCUUACCGGAUGGAAAAACGCCCACAAGCAAAACAUGCACGUGAGUGGAUUUGAUUGCAAAAGAAUCAUUUAGUGAUUUACACUAACGUAGGCUACCAAAAUACACUCCUAAUCGUUGAUUAUUUUAAUGUCACAGCUGGACAGGAAACCACACAUCGUGGUUAAUUCCAGCAAGCUCAAUCUCACGUUGUCGAUGUAGGUGUAGUUGGGAUGUGUUCUUUAUUUACAGAUUUGUUGGGAUGUGUUCUAACUCUACUUACUUUGUACAACUUGCAUAUGAUUUUUCAAACCAUAUUACCACAAUAUGGAAUUUAAGAUUUGUGGUUUGGAAGUAGAAAAUUACAAUUAUGACUAAUUGUAUUGGUAUAUGUAUUUUCUUUGAAAUAAAAAAAUAUAUCAGUACUAGAAAUUUAUGAUGUGAUGGUUCAUGUACAGGCUGACCCAUUGUUUAGGUGACUUCAGCCUUCCGGAUUUGAGUUAGGAAAAGGACAUGAUUGUCCUGUUGGAUUCGGGAUCACCAUGAGUGAUUAAUCAAAAUGCAAUACUGAUAACCAUAAUAAAUAUGUUACUACAAAAAUCAGAAACAUCUAUCCGUUUAUUUAACAGAGUAAAGUUUCAUGGCCAUUAAAUAGGAUAUAUAUAUAAGUGAACAAAUUUACCUACCAAUGCCAUUAUAAUCAUAAUAGCACCAACAUGGUUUAUUUGGCAAUUUUUGUUUUUGAAAAGGUGGAUCUAUAUGGCUGUCAAAAAAGAAGGUUUAACUAAAAAAACAUGGGUCUAUAUCGCUACACUUUUGCCUUGCCUAGAGGCGAGCCGCCAAAUUGCUCUUGCCAUGUUGCUUUGUUGAUGUCGUCGUCUGACUGCUGAGGAUAGCGGAAGAUAAGAAAAAUCUCCUCCAUAGUUCACUGGUGUUAGGCCUACAUCUUCCUUGCCCUUCUAUCUGAUCUAUACUGCUACGAGUCAAAGACGAUGGACGUCGUCAUGUUGGGCUGUAUGCUAUGAAAUUUUUGAUCCACACAGGUGCAGCUCAAAUUCAUGUGUAUGUUCUAAUUGAUCCUUAUAGGUUAUGUUAGCUUGGUGCAGGAUUUCAUCAUGAAGGAAUUAAAUCUAGCUUGCUUCGUCGUCUUGCUGGUAGUACUACAUAUGCUUGUGGGCCGGUGCCAAAAGAGGUUGCAGGUUCGCGCUUAUCCGCGGGUCAGGUUGACAUUCUAGGGUACAAAAUAAAGGCCAUAGAGCACACUCACUUGAUCAGUGUAUUCAGCAAGAUACUCCUAGAGUCCCAAUACGCUGGACUACAGGAGAAGUGCCAACCAUUGGUACCACAAGACAAUGGGUACGAUAACAAGCAAGAAUCGGCUGUGAAGCAAGCAACAACAUGGUGGAGAAACGAGCUCCUGGAUUUUCUGGCCAAGCACAUCAACUAACUCACCAUCAUAGUUCAUCAACCUAACGCAAACCCUCAAUUUCUUAACGUUUGUUAUGUAUUUUUCUAGCAUUAGAUCGAAACAGUGGUCUUGGGGAACUAUUGUAAAAGAAACUUUUGUUCUGUUAGAUACUACUUAAUGAAAGGUUAGGAGAAUGA